GACGAACGCUGGCGGCGUGCUUAACACAUGCAAGUCGAACGGAAAGGCCCCUUUGGGGGUACUCGAGUGGCGAACGGGUGAGUAACACGUGAGUAACCUGCCCUUGACUUCGGGAUAACUUCAGGAAACUGGGGCUAAUACCGGAUAGGAAUCCUUGCUGCAUGGUGGGGGUUGGAAAGCUUCGGCGGUUUUGGAUGGACUCGCGGCUUAUCAGCUUGUUGGUGGGGUAGUGGCUUACCAAGGCUUUGACGGGUAGCCGGCCUGAGAGGGCGACCGGCCACAUUGGGACUGGGAUCCGGCCCAGACUCCUACGGGGGGCAGCAGUGGGGAAUAUUGCACAAUGGGCGGAGGCCUGAUGCAGCAACGCCGCGUGCGGGAUAACGGCCUUCGGGUUUUAACCCGCUUUAGGCGGGGCGAAGCUUGUGGUGACGGUACCUGCAGAAGAAGCACCGGCUAACUACGUG
Molecule: ribosomal RNA, 464 nt
Filed under: uncultured bacterium
Lineage: Bacteria
Description: partial 16S ribosomal RNA
Rfam family: Bacterial small subunit ribosomal RNA
Source: RNAcentral